RNAcentral lists this ribosomal RNA (526 nucleotides) under uncultured bacterium. RNAcentral's name for it is "bacterial SSU rRNA". It matches the Rfam family "Bacterial small subunit ribosomal RNA", at positions 355 to 896 of the family's 1533-position model. The record is from RNAcentral.
UGAGGAAUAUUGCGCAAUGAGCGAAAGCUAGACGCAGCAACGCCGCGUGGGCGAUGAAGGCCUUCGGGUCGUAAAGUCCUUUUCAGAGGGACGAGUGAGGACGGUACCUCUGGAAUAAGUCACGGCUAACUACGUGCCAGCAGCCGCGGUAAAACGUAGGUGGCAAGCGUUAUCCGGAUUCACUGGGCGUAAAGCGCCUGCAGGCGGUCUUGUAAGUGGGAUGUGAAAUCUCCUGGCUUAACUGGGAGGGGCCAUUCCAUACUGCGAGGCUUGAGGGCAGAAGAGGGAAGCGGAAUUCCCGGUGUAGUGGUGAAAUGCGUAGAUAUCGGGAGGAACACCAGUGGCGAAGGCGGCUUCCUGGCCUGCUCCUGACGCUAAGAGGCGAAAGCUAGGGGAGCGAACGGGAUUAGAAACCCCGGUAGUCCUAGCCGUAAACGAUGGAUACUGGGUGUCGGCGGUCCUAACCCCGUCGGUGCCGAAGCCAACGCGUUAAGUAUCCCGCCUGGGGACUACGGCCGCAAGGUUA